UGGGUAACCUGCCUCAAAGAGGGGAAUAGCCUCCCGAAAGGGAGAUUAAUACCGCAUAAUAUGUUUAAGUCGCAUGACUUUAACAUCAAAGGAUUUUCUUUUAGAAAUUCCACUUUGAGAUGGACCCGCGGCGCAUUAGCUAGUUGGUGGAGGUAACGGCUCACCAAGGCAACGAUGCGUAGCCGACCUGAGAGGGUGAUCGGCCACAUUGGAACUGAGACACGGCCCAGACUCCGUAGGAGG
This 243-nucleotide ribosomal RNA is filed under the name uncultured bacterium. Its description in RNAcentral is "partial 16S ribosomal RNA". It matches the Rfam family "Bacterial small subunit ribosomal RNA", at positions 118 to 348 of the family's 1533-position model. The record is from RNAcentral.